UACGAAGGGGGCUAGCGUUGCUCGGAAUGACUGGGCGUAAAGGGCGCGUAGGCGGCUGUUCAAGUCAGAUGUGAAAAUCCCGGGCUCAACCUGGGGACUGCAUUUGAUACUGGACGGCUUGAGUUCGGAAGAGGGUUGUGGAAUUUCCAGUGUAGAGGUGAAAUUCGUAGAUAUUGGAAAGAACACCGGUGGCGAAGGCGGCAACCUGGUCCGAUACUGACGCUGAGGCGCGAAAGCGUGGGGAGCAAACAGG
RNAcentral lists this ribosomal RNA (253 nucleotides) under uncultured Acidocella sp. Its description in RNAcentral is "partial 16S ribosomal RNA". It matches the Rfam family "Bacterial small subunit ribosomal RNA", at positions 524 to 776 of the family's 1533-position model. The record is from RNAcentral. Lineage: Bacteria; Pseudomonadati; Pseudomonadota; Alphaproteobacteria; Acetobacterales; Acidocellaceae.